AUCCCAUGAUGAGAACAGGCGGCCAUGUACUCCUGUAGUCAUUCCCAUGCCUCGGGAAUAGACUCAUCUCUCGUCUGCUGUAAACUUGAAAUUCUCCCGCGUAGGGC
Molecule: non-coding RNA, 107 nt
Organism: Oryza nivara
Lineage: Eukaryota; Viridiplantae; Streptophyta; Magnoliopsida; Poales; Poaceae
Source: Rfam